This 319-nucleotide ribosomal RNA is filed under the name uncultured eukaryote. RNAcentral's name for it is "partial 18S ribosomal RNA". It matches the Rfam family "Eukaryotic small subunit ribosomal RNA", at positions 1470 to 1795 of the family's 1831-position model. The record is from RNAcentral.
CCCCUAGAUGUUCUGGGCCGCACGCGCGCUACACUGAACAGUUCAACAAGUCUUAACCUUGGCCGAUAGGUCUGGGUAAUCUUUGAACGCUGUUCGUGAUUGGGAUAGACCUUUGCAAUUAUGGGUCUUCAACGAGGAAUUCCUAGUAAACGCAAGUCAUCAGCUUGCAUUGAUUACGUCCCUGCCCUUUGUACACACCGCCCGUCGCACCUACCGAUUGAAUGGUCCGGUGAAAUCUCGGGACGGCGGCUCGGUCGCUUGCGUCCGACUGCUGAAACUUGAUUAAACCAUAUCAUUUAGAGGAAGGUGAAGUCGUAAC